GACAGAGGGUGCAAACGUUGUUCGGAAUUACUGGGCGUAAAGCGCGUGUAGGCUGCUCCGCAAGUCGGGUGUGAAAGCCCUGGGCUCAACCUAGGAAGUGCACUCGAAACUGCGGAGCUGGAGUCCUGGAGAGGAAAGCGGAAUUCUCGGUGUAGAGGUGAAAUUCGUAGAUAUCGAGAGGAACACCAGUGGCGAAGGCGGCUUUCUGGACAGUGACUGACGCUGAGACGCGAAAGCGUGGGGAGCAAACAGG
Molecule: ribosomal RNA, 253 nt
Filed under: uncultured bacterium
Lineage: Bacteria
Description: partial 16S ribosomal RNA
Rfam family: Bacterial small subunit ribosomal RNA
Source: RNAcentral